GAUGAACGCUGGCGGCGUGCCUAAUACAUGCAAGUCGAGCGAACGGACGAGAAGCUUGCUUCUCUGAUGUUAGCGGCGGACGGGUGAGUAACACGUGGAUAACCUACCUAUAAGACUGGGAUAACUUCGGGAAACCGGAGCUAAUACCGGAUAAUAUUUUGAACCGCAUGGUUCAAAAGUGAAAGACGGUCUUUCUGUCACUUAUAGAUGGAUCCGCGCUGCAUUAGCUAGUUGGUAAGGUAACGGCUUACCAAGGCAACGAUGCAUAGCCGACCUGAGAGGGUGAUCGGCCACCCUGGAGCUGAGACACGGUCCAGACUCCUACGGGAGGCAGCAGUAGGGAAUGUUCCGCAAUGGGCGGAAGCCUGACGGAGCAACGCCGCGUGAGUGAUGAAGGUCUUCGGAUCGUAAAACUCUGUUAUUAGGGAAGAACAUAUGUGUAAGUAACUGUGCACAUCUUGACGGUACCUAAUCAGAAAGCCACGGCUAACUACGUG
This 497-nucleotide ribosomal RNA is filed under the name uncultured bacterium. Its description in RNAcentral is "partial 16S ribosomal RNA". It matches the Rfam family "Bacterial small subunit ribosomal RNA", at positions 28 to 507 of the family's 1533-position model. The record is from RNAcentral.